RNAcentral lists this ribosomal RNA (468 nucleotides) under uncultured bacterium. RNAcentral describes it as "partial 16S ribosomal RNA". It matches the Rfam family "Bacterial small subunit ribosomal RNA", at positions 28 to 507 of the family's 1533-position model. The record is from RNAcentral.
GACGAACGCUGGCGGCGUGCUUAACACAUGCAAGUCGAACGGAAAGGCCCUGCUUUUGUGGGGUGCUCGAGUGGCGAACGGGUGAGUAACACGUGAGUAACCUGCCCUUGACUUUGGGAUAACUUCAGGAAACUGGGGCUAAUACCGGAUAGGAGCUCCUGCUGCAUGGUGGGGGUAGGAAAGUUUCGGCGGUUGGGGAUGGACUCGCGGCUUAUCAGCUUGUUGGUGGGGUAGUGGCUUACCAAGGCUUUGACGGGUAGCCGGCCUGAGAGGGUGACCGGCCACAUUGGUACUGCGAUACGGCCCAGACGCCUACGGUAGGCAGCAGGGGGGAAUAUUGCACAAUGGGCGGAAGCCUGAGGUAGCAACGCCGCGUGCGGAAUGACGGCCUUCGGGUUGUAAACCGCUGUCGCCUGUGACGAAGCGUGAGUGACGGUAAUUGGUAAAGAAGCACCGGCUAACUACGUG